GAUGAACGCUGGCGGCGUGCCUAAUACAUGCAAGUCGAGCGAACGGACGAGAAGCUUGCUUCUCUGAUGUUAGCGGCGGACGGGUGAGUAACACGUGGAUAACCUACCUAUAAGACUGGGAUAACUUCAGGAAACCGGAGCUAAUACCGGAUAAUAUUUUGAACCGCAUGGUUCAAAAGUGAAAGACGGUCUUGCUGUCACUUAUAGAUGGAUCCGCGCUGCAUUAGCUAGUUGGUAAGGUAACGGCUUACCAAGGCAACGAUGCAUAGCCGACCUGAGAGGGUGAUCGGCCACACUGGAACUGAGACACGGUCCAGACUCCUACGGGAGGCAGCAGUAGGGAAUCUUCCGCAAUGGGCGAAAGCCUGACGGAGCAACGCCGCGUGAGUGAUGAAGGUCUUCGAAUCGUAAAACUCUGUUAUUAGGGAAGAACAUAUGUGUAAGUAACUGUGCACAUCUUGACGGUACCUAAUCAGAAAGCCACGGCUAACUACGUG
This 497-nucleotide ribosomal RNA is filed under the name uncultured bacterium. Its description in RNAcentral is "partial 16S ribosomal RNA". It matches the Rfam family "Bacterial small subunit ribosomal RNA", at positions 28 to 507 of the family's 1533-position model. The record is from RNAcentral.